Molecule: ribosomal RNA, 431 nt
Filed under: uncultured Intestinimonas sp.
Lineage: Bacteria; Bacillati; Bacillota; Clostridia; Eubacteriales
Description: bacterial SSU rRNA
Rfam family: Bacterial small subunit ribosomal RNA
Source: RNAcentral
AACGCGAAGAACCUUACCAGGGCUUGACAUCCAACUAACGAAGCAGAGAUGCAUUAGGUGCCCUUCGAGGAAAGUUGAGACAGGUGGUGCAUGGUUGUCGUCAGCUCGUGUCGUGAGAUGUUGGGUUAAGUCCCGCAACGAGCGCAACCCCUAUUGUUAGUUGCUACGCAAGAGCACUCUAGCGAGACUGCCGUUGACAAAACGGAGGAAGGCGGGGACGACGUCAAAUCAUCAUGCCCCUUAUGUCCUGGGCUACACACGUAAUACAAUGGCGGUCAACAGAGGGAAGCAAAGCCGCGAGGUGGAGCAAAUCCCUAAAAGCCGUCUCAGUUCGGAUUGAAGGCUGCAACUCGCCUGCAUGAAGCUGGAAUUGCUAGUAAUCGCGGAUCAGCAUGCCGCGGUGAGUACGUUCCCGGGUCUUGUACACACGC